This 794-nucleotide ribosomal RNA is filed under the name uncultured Wolbachia sp. Its description in RNAcentral is "bacterial SSU rRNA". It matches the Rfam family "Bacterial small subunit ribosomal RNA", at positions 94 to 925 of the family's 1533-position model. The record is from RNAcentral. Lineage: Bacteria; Pseudomonadati; Pseudomonadota; Alphaproteobacteria; Rickettsiales; Anaplasmataceae.
AGUGGCAGACGGGUGAGUAAUGUAUAGGAAUCUACCUAGUAGUACGGAAUAAUUGUUGGAAACGGCAACUAAUACCGUAUACGCCCUACGGGGGAAAAAUUUAUUGCUAUUAGAUUAGCCUAUAUUAGAUUAGUUAGUUGGUGAGGUAAAGGCUUACCAAGACAAUGAUCUAUAGCUGAUCUGAGAGGAUGAUCAGCCACACUGGAACUGAGAUACGGUCCAGACUCCUACGGGAGGCAGCAGUGGGGAAUAUUGGACAAUGGGCGGAAGCCUGAUCCAGCCAUGCCGCAUGAGUGAAGAAGGCCUUCGGGUUGUAAAGCUCUUUUAGUGAGGAAGAUAAUGACGGUACUCACAGAAGAAGUCCUGGCUAACUCCGUGCCAGCAGCCGCGGUAAUACGGAGAGGGCUAGCGUUAUUCGGAAUCAUUGGGCGUAAAGGGCGCGUAGGCGGGUUAGUAAGUUAAAAGUGAAAUCCCAAGGCUCAACCUUGGAACUGCUUUUAAAACUGCUAGUCUAGAGAUUGAAAGAGGAUAGAGGAAUUCCUAGUGUAGAGAUGAAAUUCGUAAAUAUUAGGAGGAACACCAGUGGCGAAGGCGUCUAUCUGGUUCAAAUCUGACGCUGAGGCGCGAAGGCGUGGGGAGCAAACAGGAUUAGAUACCCUGGUAGUCCACGCUGUAAACGAUGAAUGUUAAAUAUGGGAAGUUUACUUUCUGUAUUAUAGCUAACGCGUUAAACAUUCCGCCUGGGGGACUACGGUCGCAAGAUUAAAACUCAAAGGAAUUGACGGGGNNCCGCA